RNAcentral lists this ribosomal RNA (524 nucleotides) under uncultured bacterium. Its description in RNAcentral is "bacterial SSU rRNA". It matches the Rfam family "Bacterial small subunit ribosomal RNA", at positions 19 to 526 of the family's 1533-position model. The record is from RNAcentral.
UCGGCUCGAGGACGACGCUGGCGGCGUGCUUAACACAUGCAAGUCGAGCGAGAAGGGGACUUCGGUUCCUGAGUACAGCGGCGAACGGGUGCGUAAGACAUGAGUAAUCUACCCUUGAGGCGGGAAUAACCCAGCGAAAGUUGGGCUAAUACCGGGAUAAGCCCACAGGAGGAGACUUCAGGGGGCAAAGGUCGCGUUCUUUGGGAGGCGAUCCUUCAGGGAGGAGCUCAUGUCCUAUCAGCUAGUUGGUAGGGUAACGGCCUACCAAGGCGAAGACGGGUAGCUGGUCUUAGAGGAUGAUCAGCCACACGGGGACUGAGACACGGCCCCGACUCCUACGGGAGGCAGCAGUGGGGAAUAUUGGUCAAUGGAUGCAAGUCUGAACCAGCCAUGCCGCGUGCAGGAAGACGGCCUUCUGGGUUGUAAACUGCUUUUGCCAGGGGAUAAAAGGCCCAUGCGUGGGACAUUGAAGGUACCUGGUGAAUAAGCCACGGCUAACUACGUGCCAGCCGCCGCGGUAAUUC